AAAAAAAAAAAAUUAUGAGAAUGGAGCUUAGGAGGUGCCUGGAGGCCCAUCAGGCAAUGGGCAGAGUCUCAGGGAUCUGUGCUGGUUCAUGAAUGUGCUAAUAUGAAGGGGAACUCCCAAGCCAACCCCAGAGAUGACUAAACUGUUGAAAGCCCCCCGGGGCUAAACAGAGCAGGCAGCACCUACCGGGGGACUUUCUGCUUUGUGUCUCAGGAAGAGCCCUUGGGACAGAAAAACAAGGGGACCGACUACAACUGAUAGGGAUGGAGUUGGUACAGGUGGUUGUAGAAGUCCCAAUAGGGGAUCAUAGAUAAACAGGGAAACCUGGGGGAUGUUGGGAGACCACUGUAAGUUCAAGAAAGCCGUCAGCACAAGGCAGGCUUGCUGGGCUAGUGGAAGUGGAGAAUUGUGUCAGGUCACUGGGUAGGCACUGGAAUGAGGCCUGCAUUCAGAUUCAGACCAAGGGCAAGAGUUUGAGGGCGCCCUUCAGCUGAUUUGAAUAUACACCUUACCCGAUACUAAGGAGGAGCUACUACUCCCAGAACGGAAGAGGCGGGCCAUUCCAACUCCCACUCCCCUUGAAUGCUAAAACUGUGCCCGCCCGCCCUCCGUCCUGGGGGUGAAGCUUUUGUGCCUGCAGGCUUGCAUCUCUCACAAGCAUCCUAUCCUAAAAAAUCUAUUUCUUGCCUAUCACUUUGUCUCUCCCUGAAUUCCUUCUGCGUGGAGGCAUGAAGAACCUGAACUUCAGUAAGUUCAGAGAUAGGCUUAAUGGCACACUCUGGAAUGUUCCGUCUCCCGUGCUAUCAGGUACAGUGAUGAAACAUCAGCUCCUCUGUGACCAGCAGCACACCGGACAAAUGGCCUCUUAUCCACGUGCCCAGAAAGUCGCUGAAGGAAACUGAAAGCCAGUCCGUGGCGCUGCAGCUAGCUGGAUGGAGAACCCCACGCUCCCUUCCGGCAGGAAAGCCUUAGUCACCCCCCCAUUUCCCACCCCCCCGCCCGCCACAAAAUGCCACAAAAGGCGUUUUCUUACCCAAAUGCUUUUAAAGAUUCUUUACUCCCAUGGACCUACUUUGUUCAUUCAUUUGUUUCUUACUUUUGUCAUUAAAAAAGACCAUUUCAACUCUAAUAAGGGCCCCUUUUGUGUUCUUUGAGUGCUUUUGAAUCAAAGAGAAUACCUGUAAUUUUCCUGUCGUGAUCUAUUUUUCUCCUCCAGGAACUUUAAUCUAAAUGGAGAAGAAAGAGCCCUAAUUCUUGCUGAAGCCAGAAUUGCUUCUUGGAGGAAUCAGUCCAGUACCAUUCAGCUCCCUGGUAAUACCCAGAGGAUGAAGGAGGCAAGCUGACUGCUACAGGCUGAUCCUUGCCCCUGAAUGAACCCUAGAGUUGCGGACUCAAGAGCCUUCCUGCAAACUCAACUGCUGGGAGUAUUGGAGAGAAUGACACAUAGUAUUUGAUGUAUGGUAGCACAGCACAACAGGAGAUUGCUAGUUUGGUUGGUAUCCAGUGACCUGUGGGGAGAGUGAAAAGGCAGAUGCCAAAUUCUGUUUGCUCUGCACCUCCUGCCUGUGAGGAGGAUGUUAUCGCUUCUAUUUAAAGGUGGAGGGACUGUGGCCUUGAAAGAUAUGACAGUUUCACAAGGACAUACAGGUUGAACUGGCUGGAAUCUAAGCUGGCCUGACUGGAGGUCCAGGAUCCUUCUAGAACACCAUGAGGCUGUGGGAGAGGACAAGGACCCAUUCCCGAAGAGCAGCAUUUUGGACAAUGCUAGGAAACAGCCCAAGCAGAACAUUUGGUCUCGAGCGUGGGAUGUAUCUUUUUGCAGAGGGAGGAAGGGGGUGAGAAAGAUGGGAGGAAGGGGUUUUAACUGUAUUGGUAUACAUUUUUUCCUUCUAAAAACUGGCAGUAGGUGUCGAUUCGUGCUCAGUCUGUGAUGAAUACUCUGGGGUGUGCUGUAGUGUAUCUUAUAAUUUCCUACUUGAAAUAUUUCAUAAUUUAAAGUUAAAACAAGAAAAAAGGGCUAGACAUAAUUCCACCCACUCUCUUUCCUCUUUUACAGGUGACACAGAGUGAGGAAGGACCGUACAAGGACGGUCACAUUGCAAACUUAAUGAACUGAGUUGCUCUGAAAUAUUUUUCAAGCCAAAGCAAUAAAUGGUCUUAAACAUCCCAUGAGGUCCAUGGUGGGGUUUAACUGGCUCAGAGUUAUCCUGCGUGUGUAAGGUCACAACUGCUGCUACAGCAAGAGGUAUAUGUAAACUAGUCUUUUCAGGAAAUAGCCAGAGGGGGAAAAUAAGAUUAGACAAAGUUGCAAAAAACUUAGAGAAUAACAUAUGUCUUCCAGUAAAACCAUGAAAUUUAGUCGGAAGAGUUAUGUAGCAUUCUACAGACUUUUCAUGGUUUGAAAACUAUUAUUCUGGGAAAGGAAAUGUAAGACCAGGGUCGAAAUCAAUACUCCUAUCAGCCUAUCUAGUAUUUAAAGUCCAUUUUCAGACAUGAUCUCAAUGGAUGAUCACAGUUGCUCUGAGAAGAAAGAGAAGCAAAGAAGUUAGGUGAUCUCCUUGACAGCAGAGCUGGGUAGUGACAGAACCAGGCCCUCACCAGGGGCCUGCAUUGAGACUUGUUUGCACUAUGUCCCCUGCCCACCUCA
Molecule: non-coding RNA, 2647 nt
Organism: Sus scrofa (pig)
Lineage: Eukaryota; Metazoa; Chordata; Mammalia; Artiodactyla; Suidae
Source: RefSeq, a predicted model, not a curated record